AUUGAACGCUGGCGGCAGGCUUAACACAUGCAAGUCGAGCGGGGUGAUGGUGCUUGCACUAUCACUUAGCGGCGGACGGGUGAGUAAUGCUUAGGAAUCUGCCUAUUAGUGGGGGACAACAUCUCGAAAGGGAUGCUAAUACCGCAUACGUCCUACGGGAGAAAGCAGGGGAUCACUUGUGACCUUGCGCUAAUAGAUGAGCCUAAGUCGGAUUAGCUAGUUGGUGGGGUAAAGGCCUACCAAGGCGACGAUCUGUAGCGGGUCUGGGAGGAUGAUCCGCCACACUGGGACUGGAAUACGGCCCAGACUCCUCCGGGAGGCAGCAGUGGGGAAUAUUGGACAAUGGGGGGAACCCUGAUCCAGCCAUGCCGCGUGUGUGAAGAAGGCCUUAUGGUUGUAAAGCACUUUAAGCGAGGAGGAGGCUCUUUUGGUUAAUACCCAAGAUGAGUGGACGUUACUCGCAGAAUAAGCACCGGCUAACUCUGUGCCAGCCGCCGCCGUAA
RNAcentral lists this ribosomal RNA (503 nucleotides) under uncultured bacterium. RNAcentral's name for it is "partial 16S ribosomal RNA". It matches the Rfam family "Bacterial small subunit ribosomal RNA", at positions 30 to 523 of the family's 1533-position model. The record is from RNAcentral.